UACGUAGGGUGCGAGCGUUAAUCGGAAUUACUGGGCGUAAAGCGUGCGCAGGCGGUUCGUUGUGUCGGCGGUGAAAGCCCCGGGCUCAACCUGGGAAUGGCCGGUGAAACUGGCGAACUGGAGUGUGGCAGAGGGGGGUGGAAUUCCGCGUGUAGCAGUGAAAUGCGUAGAGAUGCGGAGGAACACCGAUGGCGAAGGCAGCCCCCUGGGCUGACACUGACGCUCAGGCACGAAAGCGUGGGGAGCAAACAGG
Molecule: ribosomal RNA, 253 nt
Filed under: uncultured bacterium
Lineage: Bacteria
Description: partial 16S ribosomal RNA
Rfam family: Bacterial small subunit ribosomal RNA
Source: RNAcentral